GAUUUCAUUGACAAAUAAAUGUGGCAGCACUUUACAUUCCACCACGGUAAUAAGAUGGUAAUAGUGGGGUAACAGUGUGAUAAUAAAGAGGUAAUAUAUAGACAAUAACUUGUAAUUACCAAAGUAAUAACUAGUUACUACAUCACAGUAAUAAAAUGUAAUACUGGGGUAAUAAGGUGAUAAGAAGGUAACAGAUGUAUAACAUGCAAUUACCAAUGCAAUAACUAGG
Molecule: long non-coding RNA, 229 nt
Organism: Etheostoma cragini (Arkansas darter)
Lineage: Eukaryota; Metazoa; Chordata; Actinopteri; Perciformes; Percidae
Exons: 4
Source: RefSeq, a predicted model, not a curated record